Molecule: non-coding RNA, 1335 nt
Organism: Chlorocebus sabaeus (green monkey)
Lineage: Eukaryota; Metazoa; Chordata; Mammalia; Primates; Cercopithecidae
Source: RefSeq, a predicted model, not a curated record
UAUUAAUAGAUCGUGUUAUUCUUGUUUACCAUAAUCCCCACUAUUCUUUACUGGUUCCUUAGCACUAGCAUAGUUUGAGUAUCAUCACUUGUGUGUUAUAUUGUGAUAAAUCGAUUGCUGGUACUAGGUGAGUGUCUGGUGGACAUUAUUGGUGAUCUACCCAACAUCCAUUCACCUUCCCUCACCUUAGCAGAACCAGGAUUUUUUUCAUGUAUCCAUGUAGCACUUUGAUUCCAUAAGUCUUAGGGAAAACUGAUUUCACCCCAAUCUCCCAGGAUUAUCUUAAAUACUAAGUUCCGUUUCCCAAGCCAGAGUCCUAGUCAGCAAUUGACAGUUUAAUCAGGGUGAAUUUCUUUGAAUACUAGAACUGAAGCAGUUUCUUAUCUUCCAGAUUUUUUGUGUGAGGCUGAAACUGUUGGAGGCUUCCUGCUACCAUUCUUGAGAAUGGAGCGACCACACAGGGGUAGGUCUACUCUUCCAUAUUACUGUUACUGUGCAACUAGAAACCCACCUGACCUUGGAGGAGAAGGAACAGCAUCACUGAAAUGCUUGCAUCAGGCAUUGGGGAUGGGAGUACAGCAAGUAAUUACGAAGGAUCAAUGAGAGAGAAUUGAAAUCAAUAUAAUGGAUACAGUAUAUCAAUUUAAACAUGUAUUGACUCCAGCAACUACAUGUAUUAAGAUACGAAUUUCUGAUGCCCAAAGGCGUGUGGCCAAAUUCAGUUAAAAGGUCUUACAGCAGUAGUAUACAACCAGGAAUCCACAAAUGUUCGGAAUCUUGCCUCAUCAGCACCCCUUUCCCGCCUCAGAAGAAAGAAUAAGGCUGAUUACAUUGAUGACUAAUGCAGUUACCUAGAGAGUUAUGAAUUCUCCAAAGACUGCCUCCAGACUCUCAGCUCUUGUAAAGCCCUUCCAGGUGAAGCUGCCAUCCUCGUCAACCCUGCAAUACUUCUAGCACUCAGCCAACUCUCUCUUCGCACUGUCACAACUUCAGGAAACACUUUGAUCUUAAAUAUGCACAUGCUGAUAUAUAGUGAAUUCACGCUUCAUCUUUAUUGCAGAAUGACAGUAGUAUCUCCUCCCAAAGGCAUUUAUAAAACAGGAGACACAUGAGUUAAUUUGGAACAAGUGGAAGGAAGUUCAGGGUUUCCUGACAUCCCUUCCCUGUUCUUCCUCCCAAGCAUAGUUCUGGUUGGUAACAUUUACGUUGGAAAAAUGGCAUAAGUCAUUAUGCUUCACUUAUUGAACUAAAACUUCAAAUUACAAUUUAUGCACCAGCCUAGAAGCUGGAUUCAUUUGCAACAUGUACUUGAAUAAGGUUUUAAAAGUAACUGGG